This 52-nucleotide microRNA precursor is filed under the name Marmota monax (woodchuck). Lineage: Eukaryota; Metazoa; Chordata; Mammalia; Rodentia; Sciuridae. The record is from RNAcentral.
AUUUUAGUAUAAAUAUAUUCUGUGCAAUAUUUGGGAACUAUUUAUUCUAAAA